Mobula hypostoma (lesser devil ray) is the source of this 4637-nucleotide long non-coding RNA. RefSeq lists it as uncharacterized. The record is from RefSeq and is a predicted model, not a curated record. Lineage: Eukaryota; Metazoa; Chordata; Chondrichthyes; Myliobatiformes; Myliobatidae. The transcript is spliced from 3 exons.
UUUAUGGUUUAUUACUAUUUAUUAUUUAUGGUGCAACUGUAAUGAAAACCAAUUUCCCCCGGGAUCAAUAAAGUAUGACUAUGACUACAUACUACAAAUUGUAUGUGUGGGUAGAACAGAGAAAUUACUGGGGAAAAAACAGGGAAUUCAAAGCUAUAGGGAACUGAUAAAGAAGAUGAGGGAACUCAUGCAGAUUAGUCAUGAUUAUAGCUAAAGGCAGGGCAGGUUGAUGGGUUAAGUACGCUCCUUAUGCUCCUGAUUUUCAAAGUUCAAAGUAAACUUAUUAUCGAAGUAUGUAUAUGGAACUAUAUAUGACCUUGAGAUUCAUUUUCUUGCAGGCAUUCACAGGAAAAUAAAUAAAUGAAUACAAUAGAAUUAAUGAAUUCGAAUCAGGUUUAAUAACGCUGGGAUAUGUCAUGAAAUUUGUUGUAAAGCAGUAGCAGUACAAUGCAAUACAUAAUAAUAAAAACUAUAAAUUACAGUAAAUAUAUAUAUUAUAAAUUUAAAUUCAAUCAGUAAUGCAAAAAGAGGGGGGAAAGUAGUGAGGUAGUGUUCAUGGGUCAAUGUCCAUUCAGAAAUCAGAUGGCAGAGGGGUUCCUGAAUUGUUGAGUGUGUGUAUAUGAAAAACUAUACGUAAACAAAGAUUGACAACCAAUGUGCAAAAGAAGGCAAAUUGUGUAAAUAAAUAAACAAACAAGUAAAUAAAUACUGAGAACAGGUGAUUAGCAAGUUCCGGCCCGAAUUUUUUUUUCCACAGGUGCUGCCUGGCCUGCUGAAUUCCUCCAGUAUUUUGUGUGUGUCGCUCAGAUUUCGAGCAUCUGCAGAUUUUCUCGUUUGUGACAUGAGUGGUAGAGCGUUUGAAAGUCAGCCUGUAGGUUGUGGGAUCAGUUCAGUGUUAUGGUGAGUGAAGUAAUCCCUACUUCACCGGGAUCAAUAAAGUAUGACUAUGACUAAGAAAUCCCUACUAGUCAGGAGCCCGAUUGGUGACGGGAAAUAACUUCCUGUAUCUGGAGGUGUGGGAUCCAAGACUUCUGUACCUCCUUCCCGAUGGCAGCCAGAAAUGUACGUCCUUAUAUUAAUUUUACGGUCAGAAUCGAGCCAAAUUCUACUUCAAGCUGAAUACUUAAAAAGUAAUUUUUAGAAAAUAGAAACAAAGAGGAAAAAAUGUGUAUGAUGAGACUGGCGUUUUAAACCAAAAGUGAAUACCCAGUUAAGGCUGACAUGUGUGGCUGCAGAUCAGUAUUUGGAACUCUCGAAUUCAGCUUUAAGCACAAAGUGAAGCCAGUCCAGCUAACAGCAAAGAGAAAUGGAUGGAGCUGGAACCAUGAAGCGGAGAAGGCAUGGCAAAAUCUCAAGAAAGUACUCACAAAAGAACCUGUGUUGAAAUUCUAUGAUGCUGGGAGACCCAUCAAAAUCUCAUGUGAUGCAUCUCAAGCAGGCUUAGGGGCAGUAUUACUCCAAAAACAUGAUCAGGAAUGGAUAUGCAUCUUGUUCAUUAUCUGAUCCAGAAACAAGGUAUGCCCAAAUUGAAAAUGAAUUGCUCAGCAUUACGUUUGCUUGUGAGAGAUUUCAUCAGUUUGUGUCAGGACAAUCUAUUGAUGUUGAAAUCGAUCAUAAGCCAUUGAUUGCAUUGUUUAACAAACCCUUAAGCGACUGUCCUUUGCGAAUUCAGUGAAUGAUGAUCAAAUUGCAAAGAUAUGCGUUGAGUGUGUCAUACACACCUGGAAAAUUCAUGUACACGGCUGACACACUUUCCAGAGCUGUGGAUCCAAUAGCAAAAGACAGUCACAGGAACGUUAUUGGAGGAACUCAGCAGUUUGGGCAGCAUCCAUGGAAAAGAUCAGUCGACGUUUUGGGCCGGAACCCUUGUGUUGCUUUGACCCCAGCAUCUGCAGAUUAUUUUGUGUUUACAGGAACGUUAUUGAUGUUAAGGUAUUCAUUGAUAUGGUCAUAGAAACUGUACCUGUUGCUCCCAAAAAGUUGGAACUACUGUGUCUGGAAACAGAGAAGGACAAAAUUCAGAGUCAGGUAAUACAAGUGAUAUUGGAUGUAUGGCCAGUUAACAGGCAUGACUGUAUCUCAGUAGUACAAGAUUAUUGGAACCACAGGUCGGAAUUGUCUGUUGUGGAUUGGAUGUUGUACAAAGGUAGCAGAAUUGUUAUACCUAAAAAUCUCUGUAAAGAAAUGCUUGGGAAAAUUCAUGAAGGCCACCUAGGCAUUGAAAGAUAUAAGGGAAGGGCACGGGAAGUGAUGUUUUGGCCCAAGAUGAAUCAAGAGAUUGCAGGAUUGGUGUCUUGUUGUCAAAUAUGCCUUAAAUACCAACCUAGCAACCCUAAGGAGCCACUGCAUCCACACCCGAAUCCUCAGAGACAUUAUCAGAAGGUAGGCGUUGAUCUUUUCAUUAAUAACAACAAAGACUAUCAAUUAGUAACAGAUUGAUACUCAUUGUAUCCUGAAGUGGUGGUGUGAGCGGAACAACAGCACAGAACGUAAUUACAUGCAUGAAUCGGUUUUUUCAAGACAUUGUGUACCUGAUGAAGUUUUCACAGACAAUGGUCCACAGUUCAGUAGUGAAUACAUGAAGCAUUUUGCUCGUGAAUGGGGCUUUGUUCAUACAACAUUUAGUCCAUUUUUCCCUCAGUCUAAUGGAUUAGUUGAGAAAUCGGUAGGAAUUGUCAAGAAACUGAUGCACAAAGCAAAAGACGGUGGAGGUGAUUUUUGUAAAGCUUUGUUAGCCUACCGUAGUACUCCACUUGAAUGUGGAUUUUUGCCUGCUCAGCUCUUGAUGGGAUGACAUUUGAGAUCUAAUCUGCCAAUGGAUGAGAGCCUUCUGAGAACAGAGGAAGGUGAACAAGUGAAAAGGUGGAAAGAUGAACACAAAGCAAAGCAGAAAAUAUACUUUGAUAAUGCAAGCACGAGGAAAUCUGCAGAUGCUGGAAUUUCAAGCAACACACAUAAAAGUUGCUGGUGAACGCAGCAGGCCAGGCAGCAUCUCUAGGAAGAGGUUCAGUCGACGUUUGAUAUACUUUGAUAGAAGUUCUCAUCCAUUACCUGAACUGAAUCAGGGAGAUGAGGUAAGAAUGCAAGGAAAAAUGAACACAUAGACACAGAAAACUACAGUACUUGAAGAAGUACAACCCAGAUCUUACAUGGUCCAAACAGAGGAGGGAGCAGUGGUAAGAAGAAACCACAAAGACCUCAAGAAAGAGCCAACUUCAGAGAUUCAGUUAACGGAUGCAGACGAGACAAAACAUACAUCCACGGAAACAGAAGAGUGCCACAAAGAAUGAGUGACAGUUAAAAUGCUAGAACCUCAAAGCCUCCCCUACUCCCCCUCCCACACACAAGCAGCAGCAUAGCCUUGACCCUCCCCCAUCUCCACCCACUUCUGCAAAAAAGCAUCAGCACGCUCCAUUCGCCAACCAUGCAAUAGCAAGUCCCCGAUAAAGGUCAUGAUCUGCAGUAGAAGAGAAACUAAUUGUUCACCCGAUAAUUCAACAUCCCACAGGCUCUCUCUCUCUCUCUAAUAAAGGGUAAAAGAGAUGUCUCCUUUCACAGCAAGAGGAAAGACAUAACAAAACAACCCACUGAUUUAAAAGUCUGUCACGCCACCUUUUUUCCAAGUUCUAUGCCCUGUGAAUUGGCAGUAAUCUCUCACCCACCAGUGAGACAGGGAGAGCACAACGCAGCCUCCGACAGCUGAUCCACUGUUCCCGACGUUCCGUUCUCUCCCGUGACACAUCAGUCAGCAGCACUGGCAUAGAAUCAGUUCGUCCGCAGGGUCACGAAACCUUGGAACCCCAAAGGCACACUCGUCUGCCAGGCUGUGUCUUUGGGAUAUCAAAGUGCACACGGCCGUGAUCGCCCGGAGUGGGCCCCACCACCGCAAAGAACCGAAGUCUGAGGUCAGGGUCUUCAACAGAGACACAUACUUUAUACUUUAUACUUUAUUGUCGCCAAACAAUUAGUACUAGAACGUACAAUCAUCACAACGAUAUUUGAAUCUGCGCUUCACACUCCCUGGAUUACAAAUAUUAAAUAUUAAAAAUAUUAAAAAUAGUUAAAACUAGUAAAUAUUAAAAAUUUAAUAUUUACAUCCACCCUGGCAGGGAAAAGGAGAGACAUCCAAGGUAGAAAUUAAGCUGUUUUCGUAGGUGAAUGCAAAGAGAUGACAUUUAGCACCAUCAAGACUCCACCAUUAUGUUGUAUAUCUGGUUGCUUUUUUUUUGUUGAUACUUUGGGUGACUUUGAUCGAGGUGGCCUGCAGAUAAUGGGUGACACAGUGCUAGAUUGAAAUGAACUGAGCUGAGCUGAAUACCCCUGGAUUCCUUCAUUUUUGUGUUUUAUAUUCUGUGUUUUUUGUUUUUAUUUUUGCCUUUUGCACAAUUUGCUGGGGGUUUGAUGUUUUCCUUUGAACAGUUCCCCUAGUGUUCGUUUGUUUCGUGGCUGUCUGUAGUGAAGAUGAAUCUCAGGGUUGUAUACUCUAUACAUGCUUUGAUAAUAAAUGUACUUUGAAGAGAAUGUUCAUUGUAUUGGGAUGAGAGGAAAGCAAGACAACACUGCUAUUGCCACAUUUUUGAUUGAAUAUUUUGCUUUUAAAAGAACAUUCUGAUCUGGAAGGUAUGUUCACUGGCAAU